Hypomesus transpacificus is the source of this 250-nucleotide long non-coding RNA. RefSeq lists it as uncharacterized. The transcript has 3 exons. The record is from RefSeq and is a predicted model, not a curated record. Lineage: Eukaryota; Metazoa; Chordata; Actinopteri; Osmeriformes; Osmeridae.
GACGAGGGGUGGUUCAACUUUCCACAGAAUCUCAAAAUGGCGUCGAAUGGAGGAAAUGUAGAAUUAGACGGGUUUUGAAACAAACGUAAUAACUCAGUUUAGGAUCUAUAAUUUGGUCUAUAAACAGAAGUCGCCUAAAAGUUUGACGCUCAAUAUCUGGCUGGAACUACUUCUUGUCACCCAAACCUUCGCUCUCUCGUACUGAAAAGCUGAAGUCACGCAUUUUCUGGAAACGAUAUCGAUAUCCUUA